This 459-nucleotide ribosomal RNA is filed under the name uncultured bacterium. RNAcentral describes it as "partial 16S ribosomal RNA". It matches the Rfam family "Bacterial small subunit ribosomal RNA", at positions 338 to 795 of the family's 1533-position model. The record is from RNAcentral.
CCUACGGGUGGCAGCAGUGAGGAAUAUUGGUCAAUGGCCGAGAGGCUGAACCAGCCAAGUCGCAUGAGGGAAGACGGCCCUACGGGUUGUAAACCUCUUUUGUCUGGGAGCAAAGCGAGUCACGGGUGACUCUUUGAGAGUACCCGAAGAAACAGCAUCGGCUAAAUCCGUGCCAGCAGCCGCGGUAAUAAGGAGGAUGCGAGCGUUAUACGGAUUUAUUGGGUUUAAAGGGUGCGCAGGCGGCUGUGCAAGUCAGCGGUCAACGUGCGGGGCUCAACCCCGUACUGCCGUUGAAACUGCAUCCCUUGAGUGCGCGAGAAGGAUGCGGAAUGCGUGGUGUAUCGGUGAAAUGCAUAUAUAUCACGCAGAACUCCGAUUGCGAAGGCAGCAUACCGGCGCGCAACUGACGCUCAUGCACGAAAGCGUGGGUAUCGAACAGGAUUAGAUACCCUUGUAGUC